This 116-nucleotide ribosomal RNA is filed under the name Candidatus Woesearchaeota archaeon. The record is from RNAcentral. Lineage: Archaea; Nanobdellati; Candidatus Woesearchaeota.
UUGGACGGUCAUAGUGGCCUGGUCAUACCUGUUCCCAUUCCGAACACAGCAGUCAAGCAAGCCUACGUCCUUUGUUGUACUGAUUUAAGCUCGGGAAGCAAAGGAAACUGUCCGCC